This 512-nucleotide ribosomal RNA is filed under the name uncultured bacterium. RNAcentral's name for it is "partial 16S ribosomal RNA". It matches the Rfam family "Bacterial small subunit ribosomal RNA", at positions 28 to 523 of the family's 1533-position model. The record is from RNAcentral.
GAUGAACGCUGGCGGCAUGCCUAAUACAUGCAAGUCGAACGAGAGGAAGGAAAGCUUGCUUUUCUGAAUCUAGUGGCGAACGGGUGAGUAACACGUAGGUAACCUGCCCAUGUGCCCGGGAUAACUUCUGGAAACGGAUGCUAAAACCGGAUAGGUAGCAGACAAGCAUUUGACUGCUAUUAAAGUGGCUAAGGCCAUGAACAUGGAUGGACCUGCGGUGCAUUAGCGAGUUGGUGCGGUAACGGCCCACCAAGGCGACGAUGCAUAGCCGGCCUGGGAGGGCGGACGGACGAAUGGGGACUGAGAAACGGACCAAACUCCUAGGGGAGGCAGCAGUAGGGAAUUUUCGUCAAUGGGGGGAACCCUGAACGAGCAAUGCCGCGUGAGUGAGGAAGGUCUUCGGAUCGUAAAGCUCUGUUGUAAGAGAAAAACGACAUUCAUAGGGAAUGAUGAGUGAGUGAUGGUAUCUUACCAGAAAGUCAAGGAUAACUACGUGCCAGCCGCCGCCGUAA